Planococcus citri (citrus mealybug) is the source of this 496-nucleotide long non-coding RNA. RefSeq lists it as uncharacterized. The transcript has 2 exons. Lineage: Eukaryota; Metazoa; Arthropoda; Insecta; Hemiptera; Pseudococcidae. The record is from RefSeq and is a predicted model, not a curated record.
UGAGCACCCUCAAAACGCGCGAAAUUCGGUAAAAUCAAACUUCACCAAACGAGUUGAUGCCAACACUAGGUUGUCACCUAACAUUAAACUAGUACGAAAUCAGCAACGAAACCAUUUUAACCCAUCCCUUGUGUCUGGUUCGCGAGUGUUCUUAUCGGCGACGCGCCGUCUGCUGUGUCUGGUGGUUCAUUUUUUGCGACACGUUUGUGUUGAGUACGCGUGCGUUGUGUUUGUGGUAGGGUUUUCAUAUGGUUCCAGCAUGGAUAGUUCAGCUAAAAAUAUAUCAAGAUUACAAAUUUUCCAUGAAUUUUUUUUUAUAAACGGAAAAUUUAUAAAAAACCCUGAUGUUCCGGAAACGUUGUGCUCGAGAUUAAAAGUUCCAAGAAGACGACGAUGACGAUAAAGACCAAGAAGAAGACGACGAUGACGACGAGGACCAAGAUAAUGACGAUUAGAUUAAGUUGUGAUGUUAUGUGAAUUAAAAAUUUAAGCCGUU